UCUUUCUUAUUAAUUUUCUUAAGUUUAGCUAAAUUUCUGACAAUUUCACGUGUCGCACUUUAUUUGUGUCUGUUGUGUUAUGUUGAUAACUUGCAGAUUUUACAUAUUUUAAUCAAAAUUUUGAUUUCCAAAAUGUCCCCUGAUCUUGAAAUCAUCAUGAUGGCAGCCUCCAUUUUAGAAAAGUCUAGAUUUAUGCCAAUUUGUCUGUGGUGUUACUGUCUUUUCUGGUAACACCACAGAGUAACUUGCAAUAUAAAGUCUGUGGUGUUACUUCAAAAUGACAUAGACAUAAGUGGCUUUGUCACCAGUGUUUGAUUGAAAUUAUUUAAAAAUCAAAAUGUUCUUAAGCUUUCAUUUGAAUGGAUAUAGCAUAUUAAACUAAUUUUAAAUGCCUAGCAAUAUAUUUUAUUAGAAAAAAACAAACAAGCAUUUUUACAAAUUCUGCCUCUCAUUUGCCACCCCAAUUGAAGAAUGACCCAAAAACAAUCAUAUUUUGACAGAAAAUCGAGUAAAUCUUUUUAAGAAGACCACAUUAGUGGACCUUGACACGUUUACUCUUAAAACGUGUCAAGAGUAAACAGUUUGAGGGAACGAGUCACGUGGUAAAUUAAAGUUUGCAUUUGGCACAAAGCGUUCCGUUCCACUAGAGGGCGAAACUCUCCCAUGAAUGGAGCAGAUCUAAGCAAGAUCCUCCUGGCAAAUGUUUAGUUAGCCGUCUUACAUCCAGGAAAAACCUGCAGCCUUAUGCUGCAUGAGGGGAUGACAUUUUCUGUCUUGUUCACCGUUUGCCCUUGUUCUUUGCUAUUGCCCAAAAAUAAUCCACAGUAGUUCUGGGAAACGUAUUUGUAGAUGAACUGCAGAUCUAUCUAUCUAUCUAUCUAUCUAUCUAUCUAUCUAUCUAUCUAUCUAUCUAUCUAUCUAUCUAUCUAUCUAUCUAAUGUCAAAAAUGAGGCCUACCAAGCCAUCCCAAGAUUCUCAGCACCUCAUUGUUUGCAGUCAUCUUCUGUUUAUUCACACCUCAGAUUCCGACUGUAAAACCAGCAGAAAUCAGCCCGUCUUUCAGCUCAGCUUUCUCACUUUAAGUCAUUUAUCAUUUUAAUGUUCACACGAGACUGUUUAUAUGAGUAAUGAUGAUAGCAUCACCGACAUGCUGUGAAACCAUACAGGGCUUUCAAUAAACACAUGAACGUCUCUAAUGUUCCACACAGUUAUUCUGAAUGAAAGAGGAAGGGACGGCCUGAGGAAAGUUGCUGACAUCCUGGUGAGGAAUUGCUUCUAGGGAAAGACCAGGCCUAUAUCAACUUUCAGUAUGUCUUUAUAUGCAUUUUUAAUUUUAUCAAAGGGUGGAGGGGGGCAUUAAGCUAUGCAAAUUGAAGUUAAGUCUGUAUUGUAUCUGUUUUGGCGACCGCUAAUAAAAUUGCAACCGUCUUUUCAACAUCACUUCAUGCCUUGCCUGGAGAACAAUGACAUUUUCCUGUAUCCCCUGAAUGGGAGGAAACAGCUUGGUGGGUACAGUGACCAAAAUGCCUCUUUGUCUCAGGGGUGUCUGCAUUCUCUUCCUGUAUGCUUUAGCAAUGGAAAACAUUGCCACACACAGCCUUAAAUAUUGCUGAAAUGUUGUGUUGUCCUUUAAGGAUAUACCCAGCCACUGCUAUUUGCUUUUCACUUAUGAUGCAAAUCAUACAUCUAUGUAAAACAUUGACUUGGUUUCAUUCUGAAGGGAUACAAUGGCAAAUCUUUGAUUAUAAGGAAGUUAUUGUGCUUUUUAAAGCUUAUUUCUAUCAAUUUAAGUUAUAAAAAUCAUCAAUACUGCCAGCACAUAUCUCAUAUUUUUGCUGCAUGUAUGACACUAAUAUGUCAGCACAUAACAGGAUCUGAGCAAUAAUCAAGAAGCGGUAAAGGAGAUUUGUCAGUCAUCCAUCACUUCCUGACUUGGCUUCACCAUUGUGUCGUGUUUCCAAAAGCCGGAAGACCCGAAGGAAUGCAGAUAGAGUAAGAACCAAUGACUGUGCAAUACAAUGCAACGGUAAGGAAAUGCCAAAGUGUUAACAUGUAUUUGCUGAAUGACCAAACAGAAUGAUGUGAAUAAGAACACUUGAACAUUCAGUAGCAGGUUUGUGUAGAUAAGAUGAAGAAUGUGUAAGGAACACAAAUAAUGCUUUCAGUGGAUUAACAACAUCCUUUAAUAUGACGUGGGAGAAGCAUGGGGGAAAAUGAUUCAGAGCCUCAGCCUUAAAAUGUAUUACAUUUACAGGAAAAAAGUAAUAGGCUUUGUGACCCUUGACAUUUUUGAAUUCCUGUCUUUGGCUUUUUCCUAUUUUUAUUUAAUAAUUGUAAUUUUUCUUAUUAUUUUAAUGUGAGUCGUUUUAUUUGUUUAAACUGAUUGCUAAACAACUCUUAAAUAUCUUUUCAGUUCCAGUUAAUUUGUCUGUCAACUAAUAUACAAGGUACAAGGCAACCUGAAACAAAGACGUUAGCGGAGCAUUCAUUUGGACCAAUGAGAUCUCACUGUGGGCGUGGCCUCCCAGCGCACCGCCAUAGAAAGUAACUAUAAGUAACUAUCAUUCAAACUAUUAUUCAAAUGACUGACUAAAAUGCCAACAGACUGGUCAUAAAGUCUAAUUUACAUGAUGAGGAGCGGGACCACAGUUACAUCCAAAUGGUAACGGAAACAACUUCUUGUUCUUGUUCCAGUGAAGGAGGAAACAACACAAAGGCUGCCAUGACAGCUGAAGAAACAGUGGAAGAUUCCCUUAGCAAGCUAAGGCAGCUGUGAGAGGAAGUUGUGGCAGAUGGAGAUCUAUGAAUCACACAGUGAGGAUCCACCCAUAUGAUAACUCCUCUCUCAUCAAGCCCCUUUGGAUACUGUUCGCUGUCGACCGAUCCAGGCCCGUUUUGGAUUACUCUUUGCCUUGCCUAUGAUAGCCACUGUUUGACCCUGCCUGUUAUGACCACGUCUAUGCUCAAUAAAA
This is a long non-coding RNA of Onychostoma macrolepis, 2972 nucleotides long. RefSeq lists it as uncharacterized. The record is from RefSeq and is a predicted model, not a curated record. Lineage: Eukaryota; Metazoa; Chordata; Actinopteri; Cypriniformes; Cyprinidae. The transcript has 5 exons.